AUUGAACGCUGGCGGCAGGCCUAACACAUGCAAGUCGAACGGUAACAGGAAGCAGCUUGCUGCUUCGCUGACGAGUGGCGGACGGGUGAGUAAUGUCUGGGAAGCUGCCUGAUGGAGGGGGAUAACUACUGGAAACGGUAGCUAAUACCGCAUAAUGUCGCAAGACCAAAGAGGGGGACCUUCGGGCCUCUUGCCAUCGGAUGUGCCCAGAUGGGAUUAGCUUGUUGGUGGGGUAACGGCUCACCAAGGCGACGAUCCCUAGCUGGUCUGAGAGGAUGACCAGCCACACUGGAACUGAGCAACGGUCCAGACUCCUACGGAGGCAGCAGUGGGGAAUAUUGCACAAAGGGCGCAAGCCUGAUGCAGCCAUGCCGCGUGUAUGAAGAAGGCCUUCGGGUUGUAAAGUACUUUCAGCGGGGAGGAAGGGAGUAAAGUUAAUACCUUUGCUCAUUGACGUUACCCGCAGAAGAAGCACCGGCUAACUCCGUG
This 489-nucleotide ribosomal RNA is filed under the name uncultured bacterium. RNAcentral's name for it is "partial 16S ribosomal RNA". It matches the Rfam family "Bacterial small subunit ribosomal RNA", at positions 30 to 507 of the family's 1533-position model. The record is from RNAcentral.